This 656-nucleotide ribosomal RNA is filed under the name uncultured Carnobacteriaceae bacterium. RNAcentral describes it as "bacterial SSU rRNA". It matches the Rfam family "Bacterial small subunit ribosomal RNA", at positions 67 to 700 of the family's 1533-position model. Lineage: Bacteria; Bacillati; Bacillota; Bacilli; Lactobacillales; Carnobacteriaceae. The record is from RNAcentral.
CUUUUCUAUGGAAGCUUGCUUCCACUGAGAAGAUAGUGGCGGACGGGUGAGUAACACGUGGGUAACCUGCCCAUAAGAGGGGGAUAACAUCCGGAAACGGGUGCUAAUACCGCAUAGUUUUCUUGGUCGCAUGAUCGAGAAAGGAAAGACGGCCUUUGCGCUGUCGCUUAUGGAUGGACCCGCGGCGUAUUAGUUAGUUGGUGAGGUAACGGCUCACCAAGACGAUGAUACGUAGCCGACCUGAGAGGGUGAUCGGCCACAUUGGGACUGAGACACGGCCCAAACUCCUACGGGAGGCAGCAGUAGGGAAUCUUCCGCAAUGGACGAAAGUCUGACGGAGCAACGCCGCGUGAGUGAAGAAGGUUUUCGGAUCGUAAAACUCUGUUGUCAGAGAAGAACAAGUCGGAGAGUAACUGCUCCGGCCUUGACGGUAUCUGACCAGAAAGCCACGGCUAACUACGUGCCAGCAGCCGCGGUAAUACGUAGGUGGCAAGCGUUGUCCGGAUUUAUUGGGCGUAAAGCGAGCGCAGGCGGUUCCUUAAGUCUGAUGUGAAAGCCCACGGCUCAACCGUGGAAGGUCAUUGGAAACUGGGGAACUUGAGUGCAGAAGAGGAGAGUGGAAUUCCAUGUGUAGCGGUGAAAUGCGUAGAUAUAUG